GACCUGGCUGCGGUUGGAAACGAGUCCAGUUCACCUGAGGCGUUUGGUUUCCUCCCCGCAGGAACAGAGUGGAGCGUCUGAGGGAAGGAACCGGGAUCCUGGCGCCGGAGGUGGAGGUCAGCUACGAGCCCAGAGCUCCGCUGGGCGUGGACAUCACAGCCGAGGUGAGGGACGCCGCCAUCAGGCCACCGCCCAUCCGGAUCAAGCUCCCAGCCUGACCGGCAGAACUCCCUCUAUCCAAACUGUGCAGAUAUGACAUGUUUAUUUAUUAAUAAAGUAUUUUAAUAUGAA
Long non-coding RNA from Xiphophorus hellerii (green swordtail), 291 nucleotides. RefSeq lists it as uncharacterized. The record is from RefSeq and is a predicted model, not a curated record. The transcript has 2 exons. NCBI's taxonomy places the organism in Eukaryota, Metazoa, Chordata, Actinopteri, Cyprinodontiformes, Poeciliidae.